Long non-coding RNA from Nomia melanderi (Alkali bee), 387 nucleotides. RefSeq lists it as uncharacterized. NCBI's taxonomy places the organism in Eukaryota, Metazoa, Arthropoda, Insecta, Hymenoptera, Halictidae. The record is from RefSeq and is a predicted model, not a curated record.
AUUUAUGGGCGCGCUUACACGCGGCUGCAUACAGAUCGCCACUUACGCGUGUAUCGGGCCGGAUGAGGGAGACGAGCGUAAACCGGCCUCCCCUGACUUCGAUAAAACGCCAGGACCCUCGACUCGUGUGCGUAUGUGACGAGGGGUUACUGCAAUGGACAGGGUUGAGCGCUCAGGACCGUUCAAUACGAGGGAAAAAAAGUGAAUUAGUUUCUUCGAUAAGCGACGUCCACAGAAUGAUAUAUUAACGGAGCUUCUCGUCCAGGGAAGGAAAUGGCGGACGAGGACAUCCCGUACGCAGGAGCGGACACGCAGGAUCCGCUACGUGAAAGGAAAAUCGCGAUCGAUCCCGAGGAUCGACAUGCUCGCAGUCUCCGGUGAAAUACC